Xenopus laevis (African clawed frog) is the source of this 573-nucleotide long non-coding RNA. RefSeq lists it as uncharacterized. The transcript has 3 exons. NCBI's taxonomy places the organism in Eukaryota, Metazoa, Chordata, Amphibia, Anura, Pipidae. The record is from RefSeq and is a predicted model, not a curated record.
CAGAAUAAAUAUAGCAUUCUAUCUUGCACUAUUGCAGCUAAUCUAUUGGCAAUAAAAUGCCUCCGUAGCUUUCCUUCUCCUUUAAUGGGAUCAUGUUCAAUCGCCAGUCACAGUUUGAGAAGAAACAAGAUCAAGAACAUAAAACCUGAAAUCACCAGUUAACUGAGGGAAAUAAAACACAUCCAGGCUAGCACUGACCACUUUGGGACAUCCAUCAAAGAGAAUAUUCUAUCUCCCAUUUCUCAUCAAUUAGCCUGAAUCUCUGACUUGCGCCUAACGAACGUGAUGUUGCUACAAUAAGACAAUGGAUAGCACCUUACGUUGUCAAUAGAAGGCUUGCCAGCUCUGUGAAGGACAAACACAUUGCCUUGCAUAUACUUCACACACAAGAGAAAACCGCCACAGCUACAGAUAUUGUUACCAUGGAGACCUCACUUGUGUACAGUUUUGCUUUUAAUAUUUCUGUUUGAACUGUUGCAAAGAGCCGUACCAUUCCCUUUUCCAUUUUAUUCGUUCCCCUUAAUAAAUGUUAAUGUCGUGACAAGGCAAGAGAUGAGUAUUACACUCCAGAUA